CGCGGAGCCCAUGUCCGGCGACUGGCUGCGCCCCUUGUAGUGUCGGUUCGGUCGCCGGCCAGGUAGAAUACAACAUGGGACACUAGCUGGUUCACAAGAGUCUCGCUCCUGACAUCUUCCAUGCCAUAGUCUUCCUCGUCGGAGCCCAUACCCGGACGGUGCUGUGGACGUGAGAUCGAUGAUGGACCUCUUCUGGGAGGAGCCGACGUCCACCACGAGGCGAUUGCGGCGCCCACACUAGUCCAUCAUGCGGGUCGCCAUGGAGUGUGACUCUGCCUCUCUAACAUCCAUCGCCGUGAGGGCCUCUGCCGCCUCCCACGCCCGCUGCCUCGCACGGCGGACACAUUGCACCAUGUUUGAGUCUGCAGACGCUCAUGGUGCGUCCCCGACGCGUCGACUAAGGGGUUGGUUGCGUGUCCGCCACAAGUUCACACGCCGGACGGGCGGUGCCGUCUCCGGUGAGGCAGCGAUGCCGGAUCCAUGCACCAGUUGUGCGGAUGCACAAGAUUCCAGUUGUUGUGAGUCGGAGCACUGUCGUCGGGCGGCCGUCUCCCGAGAGCGAUGGAGUGCAAGUCGAACGACCAUCUCCUCCUGAGGCUGCAUGGAAUGAGCUCGUGGUCUUCGGUUAUGUAAGUAAAGGACUCAUAUCCGUUGUCCGUCAUGUGGGAAAAGAUAUGAGACGGGUUUGGAGUGUCCGGUUGUGUAUGCUCUUAGAUGGGGUUGGUGUAAUCUGUGCCGAAGGUAGGAGAUGAACUCAUGCACACAAGAUAGAAGAGAAGUACACGGGAGUUUUUGGCACCGCACAACUUGUG
This 812-nucleotide long non-coding RNA is filed under the name Hordeum vulgare. RNAcentral describes it as "long non-coding RNA (HVUL_LNC012571)". Lineage: Eukaryota; Viridiplantae; Streptophyta; Magnoliopsida; Poales; Poaceae. The record is from RNAcentral.